UGUGACAUACCUUAAUGUUGCCUCGGCGGAUCAGCCCGCGCCCCGUAAAACGGGACGGCCCGCCAGAGGACCCAAACUCUAAUGUUUCUUAUUGUAACUUCUGAGUAAAACAAACAAAUAAAUCAAAACUUUCAACAACGGAUCUCUUGGUUCUGGCAUCGAUGAAGAACGCAGCAAAAUGCGAUAAGUAAUGUGAAUUGCAGAAUUCAGUGAAUCAUCGAAUCUUUGAACGCACAUUGCGCCCGCUGGUAUUCCGGCGGGCAUGCCUGUUCGAGCGUCAUUUCAACCCUCAAGCCCCCGGGUUUGGUGUUGGGGAUCGGCUCUGCCUCACGGCGGUGCCGCCCCCGAAAUACAUUGGCGGUCUCGCUGCAGCCUCCAUUGCGUAGUAGCUAACACCUCGCAACUGGAACGCGGCGCGGCCAUGCCGUAAAACCCCAACUUCUGAAUGUUGACCUCGGAUCAGGUAGGAAUACCCGCUGAACUUAAGCAUAUCAAUAAGCGGAGGAA
Molecule: ribosomal RNA, 507 nt
Filed under: Fusarium sp. CJL-2014
Lineage: Eukaryota; Fungi; Ascomycota; Sordariomycetes; Hypocreales; Nectriaceae
Description: eukaryotic LSU rRNA
Rfam family: 5.8S ribosomal RNA (bases 127-280)
Source: RNAcentral